UACGGAGGAUGCGAGCGUUAUCCGGAUUUAUUGGGUUUAAAGGGUGCGUAGGCGGUCCGUUAAGUCAGCGGUAAAGUUGCGGGGCUCAACCCCGUCGAGCCGUUGAAACUGUCAGACUUGAGUUGGCGAGAAGUACGCGGAAUGCGCGGUGUAGCGGUGAAAUGCAUAGAUAUCGCGCAGAACUCCGAUUGCGAAGGCAGCGUACCGGCGCCACACUGACGCUGAGGCACGAAAGCGUGGGGAUCGAACAGG
Molecule: ribosomal RNA, 252 nt
Filed under: uncultured bacterium
Lineage: Bacteria
Description: partial 16S ribosomal RNA
Rfam family: Bacterial small subunit ribosomal RNA
Source: RNAcentral